CCUACUGGUGGCUGCAGUCGAGAAUCAUUCACAAUGGGGGAAACCCUUAUGGUGCGACGCCGCGUGGGGGAAUGAAGGUCUUCGGAUUGUAAACCCCUGUCCUGUAGGAGCAAAUUAAAAAGAUAGUACCACAAGAGGAAGAGACUGCUAACUCGGUGCCAGCAGCCGCGGUAAGACAGAGGUCUCAAGCGUUGUGAGGAAGCACUGGGCGUAAAGCGUGCGUAGGCGGUUUCGUAAGUCGUGUGUGAAAAGCGCGGGCUAAACCCGCGGACGGAACAUGAUACUGGGAGACUAGAGUAAUGUAGGGGGAACCGGAAGUCUCGGUGUAGCAGUGAAAUGCGGAGAUAUCGAGAGGAACACUCGUGGCGAAGGCGGGUUCCUGGACAUUAACUGACGCUGAGGCACGAAGGCCAGGGGAGCGAAAGGGAUUAGAUACCCCUGUAGUC
RNAcentral lists this ribosomal RNA (446 nucleotides) under uncultured bacterium. Its description in RNAcentral is "partial 16S ribosomal RNA". It matches the Rfam family "Bacterial small subunit ribosomal RNA", at positions 338 to 795 of the family's 1533-position model. The record is from RNAcentral.